This is a long non-coding RNA of Oncorhynchus tshawytscha (Chinook salmon), 1380 nucleotides long. Lineage: Eukaryota; Metazoa; Chordata; Actinopteri; Salmoniformes; Salmonidae. The record is from Ensembl.
CAACAGUCCUAGUCCUCCCCAAUAUUUAGAACAGGUUGAUUCAUCUGGGCUCCCCAGAUAGCAUAUUAAUUAACACGUCAUAUUUUUUUACAUUUUUAUAUAACCUUCAUUAUAAUAAGCAAUGGCAAAAUGUGCAGAAUUGCAGGAAAUGAGCUUAAAUGGUCGAAUUUGGCUCCUCCUCUUGUGUGUGCAUUUGGUUGAUGUGUCAUUGUGGUCAUGCGCGCUUCGACCGAUGUAGCUAGUUCAUUAGCAAAGCUAUAUAGCCACUUGUAGCUAGCCAGUAAUUCGUCCAGUAUGUGUUGAUAUAAUUUCUAAGGAUUUGUUUUUGGACUGAAGCUGUAGAGAUUGGUAAGAAAUGUAACUUCUGUUGCCAAGUAUUUUUUACAGAUGCACAAUCGAGAGCAUUCUGUCGGGCUGUAUCACCGCCUGGUACGGCAACUGCUCCGCCCAUAACCGUAAGGCUCUCCAGAGGGUAGUGAGGUCUGCACAACGCAUCACCGGGGGCAAACUACCUGCCCUCCAGGACACCUACCCCAAACGAUGUCACAGGAAGGCCAAAAGAUCAUCAAGGACAAAAACCACCUGAGCCACUGCCUGUUCACCCCGCUAUCAUCCAGAAGGAGAGGUCAGUACAGGUGCAUCAAAGCUGGGACCGAGAGACUGAAAAACAGCUUCUAUCUCAAGGCCAUCAGACUGUUAAACAGCCAUAACUGAGUGGCUGCUGCCAACAUACUGACUCAACUCUAGCCACUUAAAUAAUGGAAAAAUUGAUGUAAUAAAUGUCUCACUAGCCACUUUAAACAAUGGCACUAAUGUUUACAUACCCUACAUUACUCAUCUCAUCUCAUAUGUAUAUACUGUACUCUAUACCAUCUACUGCAUCUUGCCAUCUUGAUGUAAUAAAUGUAUGUCACGCCCUGGCCAUAGAGAGGCUUUUAUUCUAUAUUUUGGUUAGGCCAGGGUGUGACUAGGUUGGGCAUUCUAGUUUCUUUAUUUCUAUGUUUUCUGCUUCUAUGUUUUGGCCUGGUAUGGUUCUCAAUCAGGGACAGCUGUCUAUCGUUGUCUCUGAUUGGGAAUCAUACUUAGGCAGCCUGUUUGUCCACCUUAGUUGUGGGUAGUCUUUGUUAGUGGCCUGUAUAGCCGAAGUAAGCAGCACGGUCGUGUCCUUAUUCUUUGUUUUGUUUGCGACAUUUAUAAAUAAAAAGGAAUGUACACUCACCAUGCUGCACCUUGGUCCGGUCAUUUCCACGACAAUGUAUCACUAGCCACUUUAAACAAUGCCACUUUAUAUAAUGUUUACAUACCCUACAUUACUCAUCUCAUAUGUAUGUAUAUACUGUACUCUAUACAAUCUACUGCAUCUUGCCCAUGAUGUUCAGC